Molecule: transfer RNA, 73 nt
Filed under: Myxococcales bacterium
Lineage: Bacteria; Pseudomonadati; Myxococcota; Myxococcia; Myxococcales
Description: tRNA-Lys
Rfam family: tRNA
About the family: Transfer RNA (tRNA) molecules are approximately 80 nucleotides in length. Their secondary structure includes four short double-helical elements and three loops (D, anti-codon, and T loops).
Source: RNAcentral
GGGCUGUUAGCUCAGUUGGCAGAGCAGCGGACUUUUAAUCCGACGGUCGUGGGUUCGAGCCCCACACGGCCCA